AAGUUAAAAAUAUAUUUUCCAUAGACAGUAGGUGCGAAAGCAUAAAGUUUAAACUACCUACCGAGGUAUAUAAUAAGUAAGUUUAUUAUAGAUCUUCUCUGUCUAUGGGAAGAUCUUUUUUAAUAGAAUU
This is a non-coding RNA of Clostridium botulinum B, 130 nucleotides long. The record is from Rfam. Lineage: Bacteria; Bacillati; Bacillota; Clostridia; Eubacteriales; Clostridiaceae.